RNAcentral lists this ribosomal RNA (200 nucleotides) under uncultured bacterium. RNAcentral's name for it is "partial 16S ribosomal RNA". It matches the Rfam family "Bacterial small subunit ribosomal RNA", at positions 8 to 219 of the family's 1533-position model. The record is from RNAcentral.
AGAGUUUGAUCAUGGCUCAGGACGAACGCUGGCGGCGUGCUUAACACAUGCAAGUCGAGGGCGGUAGCAAUACCGACCGGCGAACGGGUGCGUAACACGUAAGCGACCUACCGAUUCGUGGGGGAUAGCCGGCCCAACGGCCGGGUAAUACCGCAUACGCUCAUUGGGCUGCAUGGCCUGGUGAGGAAACCUCCGGGGCG